Molecule: long non-coding RNA, 150 nt
Organism: Anguilla anguilla (European eel)
Lineage: Eukaryota; Metazoa; Chordata; Actinopteri; Anguilliformes; Anguillidae
Exons: 3
Source: RefSeq, a predicted model, not a curated record
CGUUGUCCUGCCGAAAAGAACGUUACUUCGUACAAGGCUUGCAGAGUGCCAUUCCAGCAUGCUGUCUCCGGGUCUUUCCAUCAAGCCUUUCCACUCCAGCGACAGCCACUGCAGUACUGGACCUGCUUGGGGAGUGACCUAAUACUUCUG